UAGGGAAUCUUCCGCAAUGGGCGAAAGCCUGACGGAGCGACGCCGCGUGAGCGAAGAAGGCCUUCGGGUCGUAAAGCUCUGUUGUGAGGGACGAAGGAGCGCCGUUUGAAGAAGGCGGCGCGGUGACGGUACCUCACGAGAAAGCCCCGGCUAACUACGUGCCAGCAGCCGCGGUAAUACGUAGGGGGCGAGCGUUGUCCGGAAUUAUUGGGCGUAAAGCGCGCGCAGGCGGUCUCUUAAGUCUGAUGUGAAAGCCCACGGCUCAACCGUGGAGGGUCAUUGGAAACUGGGGGACUUGAGGGCAGGAGAGGAGAGCGGAAUUCCACGUGUAGCGGUGAAAUGCGUAGAGAUGUGGAGGAACACCAGUGGCGAAGGCGGCUCUCUGGCCUGCACCUGACGC
RNAcentral lists this ribosomal RNA (400 nucleotides) under uncultured bacterium. RNAcentral's name for it is "bacterial SSU rRNA". It matches the Rfam family "Bacterial small subunit ribosomal RNA", at positions 355 to 746 of the family's 1533-position model. The record is from RNAcentral.